Molecule: long non-coding RNA, 2864 nt
Organism: Populus euphratica (Euphrates poplar)
Lineage: Eukaryota; Viridiplantae; Streptophyta; Magnoliopsida; Malpighiales; Salicaceae
Exons: 5
Source: RefSeq, a predicted model, not a curated record
ACGCUGUCAUCGUUUUCCCCUUCGAGUCGCCUCUUCCCCCUAUUUAUAUUCCUCUCUACAAUCUCAAUUUUCAGAUCCAAAAAAACUCUCUCGGGUUCUCUCUUUUUUGUCUUCAAAUUCUAGUAGAUCUUGAAAUGAUCUAUCUUCUGUUCAAGCGUUCUCUAGGUCCCGGAUACGAUUUCUUGCGUAGGCUUCCCGGCCUAUAUAGAUCUGAUAUCGAUGUGAUAUGCCUCUCUUGGCUUGAAGUUGGAUAGGAAAAGAAGGAUCGUGCUGCCAAUUAACGUAGUUUAUGGAGUGUUGUGCUUCGAUCUAGUGAAAAUAUUUUUUGCUGUAGAGAGUCCGGAUUUCUUGCCGAGGAGAUCUCUUCCUUGCAGGAAAACCUAAGGAUUACACGGACUACGGUGAUUCGCUUUUUUGCGGGAUGGAGCAGGGGGUGUUGGCGUUUUGCCGGUGUUCGCGAGUAUUAAUAGGCUGCUAAUGAGUUAUGGGUAAAUUAUUUACAUGUGCUUGAUAAUAUAUUCAGCAAUUAUUCUCUCCGAUCAUGUUAAAUAUAGAGUUUAGCGUGAUCGGUGGUUUGUUGGGUGCGUGGCUGAGUGGAUAAAAAGGUAUUGAGAUAUGUAGAUCUCUGAUAUAUGUUGUUAAUUGUGUCAGUCCGACCUUUGCCAUGUCAGGUGCGCUUGCUUGGCAGGUCAAAAAACCUAAUAAAAAAGAGAACAUUUUUGGGUUUUGAAGGGGGAGAUGGCACGGGAUUAUUUAUUUAUUUAUUUUGCCCGGCUCUCCCCCUUCUGUGUUGGACAGGCUCCUUGUUUCCUUAUCUUUCUACCCACUUUCUUGUUUCUGCCGGACGGAUACCAAAAACAUAGCACAUCGUACACGGAAACCAAUGUACCAGCAGGAAUCAGCACUAACAACAUCAAUUCAUCACCCCAAGGUAUAUUCUGGUAUCGACAAGUUAAUUUCCUAAUAUAUUAUUAUUCCCUGUCUGCAUUAAGUUAUCUCCCAGCUUUUGUGGAACAGUUAACUAUUUCAUACAUGAUAUCAUAACACGAACUGAUCACACUACCCUUAACUGUUCAACGGCUCUUGUUAUUCAUUUACAAUAUUAUUUAUAAACUUUGAGAAAAGGUUCAUUUAAGUGUGUACACCUGGUGUAGAUAAAUUUGAGCCCUGGCAUCUUAACGCACAUGUGCACUGGAAUAAUAAGAUGUUUGAUUUGCAGCUACCUUCCGCAUUCUAGCCAUUGCUCACAAUGUCUACAAUCUGACUAUUCUAGCCACUUGCAUAUUUUUUUGGGUUUUGGUUCAUAGCCUGCAAUCUAAUAAUAUUUAAAAAGUCCCAACAAUUUAUGACACAACUUCUCCAUUCAAGUAUGGAUAAAACCUGAUAUGCUGUGUGGAAAGACAAGCUAGAUGAGAUCUGAUAUAAGCCCGUUGCAAAGACAAGCUAUAUUAUUGUUUCAGCUUUGAUUCUGAGCAUCCCGACCUCGUACUUUCUAUUUAUUGAUCGAUGUUAAUAUUUAUUUAUACUUCAUUCCAGUAUGAUUUUGUUAUGCAAUAUUUGUAGCCAAAAUUUCUCCCUCAGUGUAUCGAUUGUGUUAUAGAACACUGUAUUUGUCAGGGAGGGCUAUGGAUAGUGAAUUGUUGUCACGUGAUUAUCUUUUGUAACUACGGUGUUAUUACAGUUUGUAUAGUGCUUUGAUCAAAUCUAGUCAUCCAAAAUGUAUUUUGGAAGACCUAUUGCUCCUGUAAGCUCUCAUAGGUAAUGCCUUUUCCUGCGACUGUAAUAUUGGAGGGCAUUGAGGGAUUGCCGCAUCAUGUUCUGCUACCCAAACCCAUUUUGGAAUUUAUCACGUUCAGCCACUCUGCCUUUUGGAGCAAGUUCUGAUUCUAAUGCUUUUCCUGCGACUGUAAUAUUGGAGGGAGUUCAAGGAUUGCCGCAUCAUUCAAACCUGUGUUGGAAUUUAUCAUGUUCAGCUGCUCUGCCUUUUGGAGCAAGUUCUGAUUCUGGAGUUCACUUGUGCUGCCUUCUCACUAUUUGACAGAGACAAUGGAGUAGCGAUACAGGAUCGGAGGUAAAUUGAUGAAGUGAGGCCUUGACACACGAGCCUGACCUAGCUGAGCCUAUGUAUGGAUAUAGGUAUCAACCAUUUCUCCUGCAUGCCCGUGUUUUCAUGCCAUGACCUUGAUUGUUAUUGUACCAAGCUUUUCGAGGACUGCCUUGAAUUCAUGUCUUGCGGAAUGUGCUUCAUUUGUUCCUGAAUGACAUCACGGUCAAUUCGAGAGAAGAGCUACCUCGAAGAAGUUUUACAGUAGUAAUGGAUGUUAAAUGAAUGAAAACAAGUGAUUGGGUUGACAAGUAUUAUUUCCAUCGACAAGCCUUUUUUCUGCUAGCAACGUCAAUCAGCGCUGUUCUUUUCCCCUUAAAUAGCUAAGCUUUAUUGCACAUGGAAUGCUUUUUUAUCCAGGAGAUUGUCUCUAGCACUACAUAAAGCGUGUGUUUUGUGUCUUUAAAGCGUUGUAUGCAUGCGAGGGUAACAGAAUUCAGGUUCUUGCAUUGUUUUAUGAUUCUGAGUGUCUUCAUCCCACCUCUUCUUAGGUAUCCAGAUUGAAAAACUCGGUAUUUUCUAAAGAGGUAUGUUGAUGUUUUCAUUUCCUCAAAUUGGAUGGUAUAUCGAGGAGUAAAGACCAAUAUAAAGGUUAAAAACCCUAAGGAAAUGGAGUGUUCGGAGGUCUUAUGUGGAAGUGGGUUCAGGAUGCAAAGAGCUUUUGAUCUUUAUCAUCGAGGUGUAUCUCGGAAGUAAUUAAUGGCAAGCUACUCGUUAUUCUGAGCACCUAGAAUUUUUAAUAAAAAUUAAUAUGUUGAGA